Molecule: ribosomal RNA, 490 nt
Filed under: uncultured bacterium
Lineage: Bacteria
Description: partial 16S ribosomal RNA
Rfam family: Bacterial small subunit ribosomal RNA
Source: RNAcentral
AUUGAACGCUGGCGGCAGGCCUAACACAUGCAAGUCGAACGGUAACAGGAAGAAGCUUGCUUCUUUGCUGACGAGUGGCGGACGGGUGAGUAAUGUCUGGGAAACUGCCUGAUGGAGGGGGAUAACUACUGGAAACGGUAGCUAAUACCGCAUAACGUCGCAAGACCAAAGAGGGGGACCUUCGGGCCUCUUGCCAUCGGAUGUGCCCAGAUGGGAUUAGCUAGUAGGUGGGGUAACGGCUCACCUAGGCGACGAUCCCUAGCUGGUCUGAGAGGAUGACCAGCCACACUGGAACUGAGACACGGUCCAGACUCCUACGGGAGGCAGCAGUGGGGAAUAUUGCACAAUGGGCGCAAGCCUGAUGCAGCCAUGCCGCGUGUAUGAAGAAGGCCUUCGGGUUGUAAAGUACUUUCAGCGGGGAGGAAGGGAGUAAAGUUAAUACCUUUACUCAUUAACGUUACCCGCAGAAGAAGCACCGGCUAACUCCGUG